AGUUUACAGCUACAGAAAUAUUACUUUCAACGAUGUUUCGCUACAAGGUAUCGUGGGUUUUCGUGGUAAUUUUGUUUACGUUUUCGUCCGACGGUGCGAGUAUAUAUGAUCCUGGUAAGCGGUUACAUAAAAUCGUUUAAUUGACAUGCACAUUAGAACGAUGAAAUACCAAAAGCAAUAAUUUCGGAUUGUCAGCAUUCGCAUAAAGUUUUUUAUAGAGUUCUUUUGACUUUCAUUCAUUAUAGGUAGAAACCGGAUUUAUAUUCUUUUAUAAUCCAUAAAAAGGCACUUAAAAACACCAAAAAAGUACGAAAAAAAAAACACUUCAAAAUAAAAUCAUAUGUAUAUUAUAAUUAAAAUUACUUUUUAUUUAUCAUUUUUGUAGUGUUAGAAAACUAUAUUUAUAACUUAAAUCUUAUGGAAAGAGGGCUAUUAAACCCCUCUAUUAUUUUUGUGUUUUUGUAUAUUUGUUAAGUUAUUUUUUUUUCCAGUGUUUUUUAGCGUUUUUAAGAGCUUUUUGGAUUUUAAGAACAUAUUAAUCUGGCCUCAGUUAUAGGUAUCUUAUAAAAAACGAACCGAUUUUAAGAGUCUGAACGGAGUGAGGAAUGUAUUGCUUUUACAAUGAUUUAUAUUUUUAUUUUUUUAUGUAAAUACUUUUGUACCAGAAAGCAUACUCCGAUUAUCAAUACAGCGCUUUUUCUGAUAAUGUGGAAAAUCUGGUUUUUUAAGUUAAAAAAAAAAAAAAUAAAAGAAUAAAAAUAAGGUUGUCAUUGACAACUGUUUUUAUUUAUUUCUUUGUUACUAUUAAGUUUUUAUUAUUUUAAAAAAUAUUUUUUAAACAAUCAUUGUUUUCAUAGAAACGCACAUUGUUUUAAUCGUUUUAUUUACUAUAAUUUUAUGAUAUAUAUAUAUAUAUAUUGUUGAAAAAGCAACUCUGUCAACUGAAUUCCGCUCAGAAUAAUUUAUCGUAACUUACAGAUAUGUAUUAAAUUCCCGUCUGUAUCCUACCUUCCCAACUUUCCACGUACAACAGUAGAUGCACCUACGUAUGAAGUAUGUCCGUCCUUUUAUAUAUAUAUAUUUUUUAAAUCGGAUAUGAAUGCAUAAAAAAUUAAAAUUUUAGAAAAAUGUUCUUUUAUAAAAUGGCUAUUUUGAAAAUUGUCUAAAAUGAAUAAAUAAAAAAAAAACUUUUUUGUAAUUAGGGAAUAGUAAUAAAAAUUUAAUUUUUCACCAAAUCGAUGUUCCCCUCGAAAAAAAAAACAAUUAGAAAAAAAAAUGUAAUAUUAACAGCGCCAGAAAAAUCCGUCGACAUGGUUGGACACAAUGUAUUUAUACUUAUAUUCGACAUAAAAUAUGUAAUUUGACUUCAUGUUAGGUACCUAUACACAUGCUGCAUUAUUUUGUUCGAUUAUUAAUUUACCGUUAAUUAUUACGAGUGAUUUGGGUUAAUAGAUGACUUGCUCGUUAGAGGAAUCAGAAAUCAGUAUGGUGUUAAUGGUUUUUAUGGUUCUAUUCGAGAACCUAUGUAUUCGUACUACGGGCCAAGUAAGCGAAAUUAUUUAUAUGUUAUACAUGACUUUUAUCAGCCAUAUUUUCCUAAAAAAAAAAAAAAAACCCCCAAAGCGUACACACUCAUUUACGAAUUUCAACAACGAAUAUUUUGAGGGAUAUGAGCGUAUACCUACUUGUUCUAUUUUUACUGGGUAUACGCUGAUUGACCAAAUGGCAAACGAAUACUCGCCGCAUGCCACCGUAAACCCUCCAAAACGCCAUCGAGUCUAUUAUGACACACAAGAGACGUUCGCGUAACAUUAUUCCGUAGAUCUAAUUUGGCGGCAUAACGCACACGCACGAUAAUCGCUUCCGCGUGCACAUACUAAAUUACUCUGUAUACAGCUUAUACCUUCCCAACUAUCCACCCGCAACAGUCGCCUGCCCGAGAUCAAUCACCGCUCUUCGAAAUUCAUAUUAUACGUCUCACUCCCGCUCCUAAAAAUAAAUCCUGGUCAUGUCACUGGUGUACUAUAAGUAUAUAUAAUUGCAAUAAUUGUUAUUAAAGAUUCAUUGUUGAAGGUAGGUUAAUUGUUUAACAUAAUGUAUAGUUACGCCAAUUAAAACUAUAAUUAUCUUUAUUAGAUAUUAAAAAAUUGUAAUGCAUUUAUAUUUAUUAUUUUCAGUUAUUACAGAAAAGAUAGGGUCAAGAAUAGUAUGAAAAUUUGUAUUAAAAAAACAAUUUAAAAUACAUUUUAAAUGAUAAAUAUAAUUUGUUUAUUGUGAGAUUUUAUUAUAAUUUUAAAAACACAUAUUUGAAAUCAUAAUAAUGGAAAUCAAUUUUAAUAAUUAUAAUAUUGUGCUUAAAAUGUAUGUGGAUAUUUAAGAGAUUUUCGUUUACCUCUACUAUCUCGGACGCGGAAAGCAGGUUCAGGAUCAAUUUUUGAG
RNAcentral lists this long non-coding RNA (2439 nucleotides) under Cinara cedri. Lineage: Eukaryota; Metazoa; Arthropoda; Insecta; Hemiptera; Aphididae. The record is from RNAcentral.